This 40-nucleotide unclassified non-coding RNA is filed under the name Golden shiner reovirus. Its description in RNAcentral is "RNA (40-MER) from Golden shiner reovirus (PDB 8FJK, chain b3)". Lineage: Riboviria; Orthornavirae; Duplornaviricota; Resentoviricetes; Reovirales; Spinareoviridae. The record is from RNAcentral.
UAUAUAUAUAUAUAUAUAUAUAUAUAUAUAUAUAUAUAUA